RNAcentral lists this long non-coding RNA (998 nucleotides) under Heterocephalus glaber (naked mole-rat). Its description in RNAcentral is "lncRNA (ENSHGLG00000041624.1)". Lineage: Eukaryota; Metazoa; Chordata; Mammalia; Rodentia; Bathyergidae. The record is from RNAcentral.
UCCCGCCGGACCUGAGCGACCCGGUCGGGUCGGGGCGCACGCGCGGAAGCCGCGCUCGGCUCCCGGCGGUCCGCAGAGGAGCCGCACCCGAGCAGCCCGGCCCCGGCCUCGCCGCGCAGAGCCUUACCCGAAGCCUCGUCCUGCGACAGGUGGUCCUGCGGACGCAGCCCUGCCGCCCGCCCCACGAUGUUCAGCCCCGGGGCGGCUGGUCCUGCCCUCCUUACCCCCGAGCUCCCAGAAGCCCGCGCCAGCUCAGGCUCACCCUGGCGUGGACCGCCGCACAAACCUCAAGGGAGCCAGGAAAGCGGGGAGAGCCGGCGCGGCCCUGGGCGGACGGACGGGCGCGCGAACCAAUGGGAGGCAGGGACCCUGCGGGGGGCGGUGCCUCGAGCACCUUCCUCCUUUCGGUUGGUUUCCUCCUGGUUAACUGUUCGGGGGCCGCGCGCGCGCCCCGAGUGGACGCGACCCGGAGACCUCGGAGAGCCUAGCAGAGUUGGAGGACUUUAGAGGCAGGCAGCUCUGAGGAAGAACCGAGUAUUCCUUAACGCGGUCCUUCCCUCGGCGCACUCCCGGCUUUGGCUUGGGGAGGGGGGUGGCGAGGCAGGGCUGCGAGUUCGCGCGAGGGCGCGCUCUGCGCAGGCGCGAGCGGGGUGUCGGCGGGUACCAGUCUCGGAAUCCAAGGAGGUUAGAGAAACUGCUGGGAUUGGGUCCAUCCUGAAGGCCCUUGGAAGAAGGGAGAGGAUGGAGGAGAGAUUUAAGAGCUGGAUACAAGUUGUGGCUCCAGGGGCCACCACCAAAUGACAGUAAGGACACAGGAGAGAAGUACCUGCCCAGCACACCCAGGAACAUGAUGGACAAAUGCCAGACUCAUGAAAAUGCAGCAGAAGAAACAAAGAAAUGGCAACUUGGGACAGGGCGAGAUGGACAGAGAGGAGGACAGAAAGCGUGGAGGAAAUUGUGUACUAUAGCCAACAUUAAAGACUGACAUCACCACCUGA